UGAGUCGGCCGGGUGGCCGCGGCGCACGCGAGUGCGUCGAGGAAAGUCGGGACUCCACAGGGCAGAGUGCUGGUGAGAGCCAGGUGGGGGCGACCUCACGGACAGUGCAACAGAAAACGAACCGCCCGAGGGGCAACCCGAGGGUAAGGGUGAAAAGGUGCGGUAAGGGCGCACCAGCGCGCGGGGCGACUCGCGCGGCUUGGCAAACCCCACUUGGAGCAAGGUCACGCAGAGGACAUGAGCGGCUCGCUCGCCUUCGGGCACUCCUCGGGUAGACCGCAGAGAUGGAUGGUCACCGGACCGCAAGGUCCACAGAAUCCCGCUUACAGGCCGACUCACCGC
RNAcentral lists this RNase P RNA (342 nucleotides) under Actinomycetota bacterium. Its description in RNAcentral is "Actinobacteria bacterium (freshwater metagenome) RNase P RNA component class A". It matches the Rfam family "Bacterial RNase P class A". From Rfam's summary of the family: Ribonuclease P (RNase P) is a ubiquitous endoribonuclease, found in archaea, bacteria and eukarya as well as chloroplasts and mitochondria. Lineage: Bacteria; Bacillati; Actinomycetota. The record is from RNAcentral.